RNAcentral lists this long non-coding RNA (1838 nucleotides) under Mus musculus (house mouse). RNAcentral's name for it is "predicted gene, 50223". Lineage: Eukaryota; Metazoa; Chordata; Mammalia; Rodentia; Muridae. The record is from RNAcentral.
CUCAUUUGUCAAAGGGAUGCUUUAAAGAUAAUUCCCUUUGCCUGCAGCUCCUGCUCGUGUGCGAAGACAGCUCUUCUGUCUUUAGGACUAAGGGAAAAGAGACUGCACAGUUUUCAAUCAGAAAUCUUCAGGCCCACAGGUUUGGUCCAAGGUGCCAGAGUCUGUAUGCUCUCUUUGUGACUGGCCUGGAUGGAAGAUGAAGCAAUCCAUACCUUAUAAAUUGGACUGUCCACACCACAGACAGCUUUCUCAAACUCUCCUGUACACAGCUCCACAUCCUCGCCUUAGAGUUAUACAAAGGCUGAAUUAAGUAUACAGGGUGUUCUGCAAUGAUCACUGGAGCCGGUCCUUAGCUGGAAGAGAAUUCUCAACACCUGCUUUCACUUUUGUUGUUCAGGGCUGGAUUAAAGGCAUUUAAAAGGACAAAGUCAGCUCCUGGGGAGAAGAGGAAGUGCCAGACAAUCGUAGGAUGUUAGUGGCUAAUUGUUUUACCGACACCUUCUCACUUUUUAGCUGAAAAGCAAAGACUUAUGCAAAGCCCAAACCACCACACCAAACGGAAGGAUCUUUAGGAAAACAAGGAGACAGAUUGUUGAUGCUAAAAUGUAGAUGGGCCUUUCUCAGACCAUUACAGUCGAGGUUUAAAAUAGUAGGCUCUGACCCCUUGCUAGGAGGUUAAAAGUGAUUGAAAACCCCAGGUCUUUUGAAACUGUCUAGGCUGGCGGCAAACCUUGAGUUUGUCUUUAUGACCUUUGCACGUGUAAAUAUAGGGGAGUUAUUUUGGACGGCUUUAAAAGAGUGUUAUAAAAAGCAAGUUUUCAGGCUUUUGUCCUUGAGGGAAAAGUUCCCUUUUUGCUUGAGUUAGGAAUUGCCUUUCUCUGAUGGUUUUCUGUGAUUAGCACUCGUUGGACACUUAAAGUAUUUCUUAUCGGGUGAUAUAAUUGGAUCUCCUAUGUUUUGUGUCUUCAAAUGUAUCCCUGAGCGGCCGCCUUGAGAAAGCAUUUAGGCGAAACACUUGUUAAUGGAUUUCUUUCUAUCCCGGGUUUACUUCUGAUGCAACAAUAAUCGCAGACGUUUCCAAAGUGCUUUGUGUGCUCAAACACAGCAGCAUUCUUUGUGAAAGAAUGGUAAUUCUGAAACCACUCUCCUCAUCUCACUGUGCAGCGCUCUGUGCAGUAGACUUGACUACGGCAGCCAAGGGAGAACCUGGGAAGGCUUCAGGAGUUGGUUCUCCUCCCAACCUCACUGGUUUCUGGGGAUCGAACUCUGGUUCUCAGUACCACAUUCCAGGCAGGCGUUUUUAACCCACCCAGCUAUCUCACGCGCCGGCUCUGUCUUUGGUACAUCUAGAUCUCAGAGAGGAUUAGUAACUUGGAUCCCUCUAAUUUACAUUCCAAUAGACAUUACUAAAUGCUUCACUUUUCUCCCAGAAGCACGCAGGCAAACAUUUGGUAUUAGUAAAUUUCAGGUUGGGGGGGGGAGGGGGAGGGGGAGUAAUUUUAACCAUUUUAGGUAAAUAAUAGUAUCUCAAUUUUACUUGUUUUUUUUUUCUCCCCAGUUACUAAUGAGUUGGAAUCAUUUUUAGUGUGUGCUUGAGGUUAAAACAGAUACUGAGAAUUAUUUUUUAAUUAUAACUUAUUUUUACAUGUGUUUUAAUUAAAAAGUAUGUAUUUAUGUAUGUUUUAAUUAUAAAUUAUGUCUCUUAGUAACCCAGUUUUAGUGCCUGGAUUCACUUAUGUUGUUGUUAUUCAGAAAGAUGAAAGGCUUUCUAAUUCCUACUCAUCUAUAACCAUCUCAUAGUGUUUAAUAAAAAGAUAUCAGUGGCCAACAGAGACUAC